RNAcentral lists this ribosomal RNA (332 nucleotides) under uncultured Streptococcus sp. RNAcentral's name for it is "bacterial SSU rRNA". It matches the Rfam family "Bacterial small subunit ribosomal RNA", at positions 1047 to 1382 of the family's 1533-position model. Lineage: Bacteria; Bacillati; Bacillota; Bacilli; Lactobacillales; Streptococcaceae. The record is from RNAcentral.
GGUUGUCGUCAGCUCGUGUCGUGAGAUGUUGGUUAGUCCGCAACGAGCGCAACCCCUACUUGUUAGUUGCCAUCAUUCAGUUGGGCACUCUAGCGAGACUGCCGGUAAUAAACCGGAGGAAGGUGGGGAUGACGUCAAAUCAUCAUGCCCCUUAUGACCUGGGCUACACACGUGCUACAAUGGUUGGUACAACGAGUUGCGAGUCGGUGACGGCGAGCUAAUCUCUUAAAGCCAAUCUCAGUUCGGAUUGUAGGCUGCAACUCGCCUACAUGAAGUCGGAAUCGCUAGUAAUCGCGGAUCAGCACGCCGCGGUGAAUACGUUCCCGGGCCUU